Polyodon spathula (Mississippi paddlefish) is the source of this 3810-nucleotide RNA transcript. It is a transcript of the gene named trafficking protein particle complex subunit 6b-like, with no coding region annotated. The record is from RefSeq and is a predicted model, not a curated record. The transcript has 8 exons. Lineage: Eukaryota; Metazoa; Chordata; Actinopteri; Acipenseriformes; Polyodontidae.
GUGUCUAAAAAAGUGUUCAUGUAUGAAAAGACAGCUUUAACUUAGGAAAAAAACGUAGGUUUAAUAGGACAAGAAAACAGCGUUGCAUUAUUAGCAUCAAAGGUUCGUUUGGAGGUGAAGAUUGUCCCUCUGCGGUGACUGUCACCAGGAAGUAGACUGUCCGAGGAGCAGCCAGUGAUGGCAGAUGAGUCUCUGUUUGAGUUUCUCCACAUGGAGAUGGUGGCCUAUGUUUACAAGCAUCAAAAUGAGGACAACAGUAACCAGGAAAGGGGAAGCUCCUUGUCAACUUUGGAAGGCAUGGGUUUCCGAGUAGGACAAGGACUUAUUGAAAGGUUCACUAAAGAUACCCCGUCUUUCAAAGACGACUUGGACGCCAUGAAGUUUCUCUGUAAAGAUCUGUGGAUAAACCUCUUCAGGAAACAGAUUGAUAACCUGCGGACGAACCAUCAGGGUACCUAUGUGUUACAAGACAACAAAUUCAGUCUCCUGACACAGUUCUCCAACAGCAAGCAAUACAUGGAGGAAGCCCCUAAAUACCUGGCGUACACGUGUGGCAUGGUGAGAGGUGCCCUGUCAAACCUGGGCAUUGACAGCAUUGUGACUGCAGAGGUCUCUCUCAUGCCAGCCUGUAAAUUUCAAGUCGUGAUUCAGAGGUCCUAAAAGUGUGAUCAUGCCUAGAAAGUUGGUUUACUUUAAAAGAGCACCUUCAGCUUUUCUGAAGCCGAUGGCUCUCUUUUCUAGCUAGUUUUACUUUGCACACCAGUUAUAGGGGUGCAGCAGAAUCUGAGACGGUGUCAGUAGUGGCUGCAAGGGCGGCAGUGGUUUGCACAAGUCUGCAAGGUGUUUUAAAUUGUUCUGACCAUCUUGGCUCUCUGCAAAUUGUGUCUUUCCCCUCGUGACUGACAUCGAAUCACAACAAAGGGAUGCAUCUUUUAAACAUGUCUAUAGAGAUACUGUUUGCACAAUAGUAUGUGCUACAUUGUACAGGUGUUUUGCAUUUUUCUUUGUCCAGCCCUUGUAAAUUCAUGUUAAAAAUUAGUCUUAGAUAAGGAACCUAGAAAACUAAAAGCGCUGGCAACAGCCAUUGGAAAUAAUAAUUGGUUACACAAUGCGUUCCAGUAACCAUUUCAGAUUGUGGUGUAUUGUGAUCGCCACUUUCAAGCCUCAUUCUAGAAGCAUUGGACAGGCGUUCUAAUAUUCUGUUUUCAAAUGUAGACAGAUAUGAACGAAUUGGAACACGAUCAUAUAACAGAAUUUUAAUGUUUCAGAUAGCUAUAUCAUGCAAACACAUCCUCAGGGCCACGCCAUAAUGGUAUUUAGCACUGGUGCCUGCCACUGAAGACUGCAAUCAGCCACAAUCUGAAAAUGCUAAACAAAGCUUGCUAUCGAAACCUACUGGGGUCUGUUUUAAUGAUCUCAUAAGUGGGGGUUCUUUAUUUUCUCUGUUUUUCUUUAGAGAUGUUAAUAUAGAGAUAAAAAAAAAAAAAAAGUUUCAAUAAAUAAAACUGACUGAAUAAGAUGUUUUGCUACAGUUUAUAAAAUCUAUCGCUGUAUCUUUUUUUAAAGUUUAACAGUGGACCAUGUUGUGUGCAAUUAUUGGAAAAACUAUCGAACACCAUAACUAAAGUACAAUUAAUGUAAGGUGCAAUACUAUAGAGAAGCCCCAUCUGGUCCUCAGAUAUCAGCGUACCUCCAUUGCACUGUGCCAGACCAGGCAUUGAGGACAAUAUUGGGUGCGGACCAACAUGGAAGAGAGAGGCGCUUUAUUCCAUCAAAGACUUGAAAGUUAAUGCCAUCUGUUAGAAAUGCUUUUCGAGUGCACGAUGAUCUGGGGAGCGGUGAAAAUGGCCCUCCUGUUGAGACUAGGACGACAAGAAACAAUCCAGCCUUUUUUAAGAUAAAAAUUUAAAAAGAAUAGCAUUUCUGUGUAAGGUGCCAGGAUGUUUUAUAUACAGCAGAUAAUAAAUGCUAGUGAUGGCUUUAACCACUCUGAAUACAUUUGUACGCCAAGUGGGUUUUUUUAAAUGUGAGUUUAGCUAGCCAAAACAGUUUUUGAAAUAUUAAGCCAUUAGGUUUUUUGAACAUAUUUGAAAUUCUGUUUUUAUAGUAGGGAUUAUGUGUUCUAUUGUUUAAGCCGUUUGCUUAAUUGAUGAGAAGGUGUCUUUGUGUCUUGUUAAAAAAUACAUUAAAAUGUUAUAGUGAAAAAUGCAGGCAGUAUUUUUUUUUUUUAAGAGCGGGUUUCUUGUUAUAUCUGUAUGUGCCACCAGGGGGCAGUGUAACAUACUGGAAACAUAUGACUGCCAUAGAGUUACACAGGUCUUUGUUUUCUGAUAAUGCUGGUUGCCAAUAAUUGCAACAAUUACAAUUUUUUUUAUUUUAGGCAAGUGUUGUUGUUUCUGAAAGCUGCUUUUCUUAAACAAGAAACCUAACAAGGAAAGUAUUUUGUUAAUAGAAAGAUGCUAUGUGACGUUAAUGUGGUGUAGUUCUUAGUUCAUGGUGAAUUAUUGGUACUAACACAUGUAAUAUAUUAUUGGUAGGAAGGGGUAUGUUAUUGAUUUAAUUGUCUCCAUUGACUGGGGGUGGAAACAAACCCUAUUUUGAUUUUAUGAGCCAUUGGUUUGAAAAUCAAACAUUUUAAAGUGUAAGUAAGUGUCUUCUAGUGUCUGUCUGUAAAAAUAUGUGGUCGAUUUAAAUACAGUGUUUAUUUAGCCCGCAUAAAGGUUUCUUUUGAUAGAGUUUAUAUUUAACUAAUAUACUUGUACAGUGCUGAAGAAAGAAAAAAGGAAAGAAGUUUGCGAGGGAAAGCAGCCAACAGCAAAAACAAUAAGGGUUGUGAAGAAGUGUGUAUGCAUUGGUAAUUAGAAAUGGGAGGCACAGUGGGGUUAUUUACCAGCCUGAUACCCAGGUCAGUGCUCUUUCAAAUCACUUGCCGCUUAUGUGAUUUGGUUUGUUUGUUUUUAGAUAUAAAACUGCGUUUAGGAAUAAUUGAAUGUACAUUAUUUGCAAAGCAAUUGCUUUCCAUUAAAAGCAGGUCUUUGCAAUGAAUACAAUACAGAGCCUAAAUCAAGUAACAGAUGCGGGCCGGCGGGGGGGUCGUUCGUUUCAUUGCAUCACUGACCAGCUUUAAGUCCAGGGGCAAUUAUUGCUUCUGCCAAAUAAAGUCGGGUAGUUUAUUGAUUGUAUUGUGAAAACGACAGCGUGCAGAAGCAUGGGAAUGCAAGCCAUUGCUCUGCUACCCAACAGCUGUUCGCAGAACUGUUUGCCUGCAAUGGGGGCUGGGCAGAUAGAGUUCAGUGACAAAGAAUAGGAGUUGUGCUGUUCAUAGGCAUUGCUCUCAGCCUCUGAGCUGUGUGAGAACCCCUCUCUGUCUAUUGUUGUGCAAAUAGAACUUCGGGUGGAAAACAGAGGAUGCACAGACAAUGUUUGUGCCUCUACAUAAAUACUUUUUUUUUUUUUUUACCCUGUUACCAAGAAAGCAAUCUGCUUGUCUUUUUUUGCAGUUCUUAAAAAGAGGUUCAUUCAGUUUCCAGUGGGUUUAGAGCAUUAUGCGCCCACGCUAAAAAGGACAUCUAUCGCUUUGAACGAACACUUGCUCAUGAAAACAACAUCGCAACAAAUAAAUUGCUGAAUUAAUUCUGAAGUCUUAAGCCGAUGUGAAGGAAUGGCAGGGUAUAUAUUUACUUUAUUAUCAUGACACAUUACCAACAUAUUACCUUAAGCCUAAAUCGUAAGCGUAUUACAAUUUGUACCAAAAUAGUAUAGUCAAGUUAUGGAUAGGCUGUUCGCUUAGGUUUUUUAUAUUUGCUACAG